GCCCCUUUAGUCUAGUGGAUAGGACACGGCCCUGCGGAGGCUGUAACCCGGGUUCGAAUCCCGGAAGGGGCA
RNAcentral lists this transfer RNA (72 nucleotides) under Candidatus Nanoarchaeia archaeon. Its description in RNAcentral is "tRNA-Arg". It matches the Rfam family "tRNA". From Rfam's summary of the family: Transfer RNA (tRNA) molecules are approximately 80 nucleotides in length. Their secondary structure includes four short double-helical elements and three loops (D, anti-codon, and T loops). Lineage: Archaea; Nanobdellati; Nanobdellota; Candidatus Nanoarchaeia. The record is from RNAcentral. RNAcentral also lists the same sequence under 1 other name.